CCCCCCCCCCCCCCCCCCCCACCCUUCCUGCCGUCACCCGAUCAUCGUCGACACGGGCAUCCUCUCUUCAUCGUCUUCCCAAUGCCACCAUCCACUCCUCCAAUUGUCGCCAUCUCAAGCUCCUCUACCUCGAUCCCGAGCUCACCGUGGCGACUCCUAGUAUGUGUCUCCGAUCUGCCCGAAAGCUCCUGCUUCUCAGCAUCAAGCUUGGCUCUGCCACCACCAGCUCACACAUUUCCUCCUUUCGGUGAGGUUGAGGCCAGUAGCAUCAGCUCCGACACGGAGCACCCCUUUUCCGAGCUUCCUCCUUCCCCCUGUUGCUGCGGCCACCCUAUCUCCUCCAUCACAAGUUGCAACUACAACUUCUCCUUCCUUCUAGCCUCAAGCUAAGUCCCUGUCUCUUAUCAAUUUCUCUAUCUUCCUCUAUUUUUGUUUAUCUCUGCCCAUCUCUGUCUCUCUCUCUCUUUCCUUGGCAGCAGAUCCUCCAUGGCAACACUGAGCUUCACGAUCUCCUGCCUCUUCCCAUAGCUCCGACGACAGCAACAACUCGUCCCUCUCCAAUUAAGCUCAGCCUUCCUGGCUUUCCAGAGUCCAGCUGCUGCAAACGACCUCAGCUUAGUCUCGCAGUAGACCAUUGAAGCCAGCAGCUCCCCCUCAUAGCACCCGCAAACUCCUCCUCACAGCGGCAACUUCAAAUCGAUCACUUCCUCAUAUCUGGCUCAUUCCCGACACAUAGAGGGCUAGGGGACUAGGAGUCUGAUUUUCUCUUACAAGACAAUGGCAAUGGAAAGUCGUUGGAAGUUGUAAUUAGAAAAUUAGCUUGGACUUGCUACUUGUCUUUUAGGUGGACAGAGAGAAAUACAAGGAUUUUUCAAGGAAAGGCUAGAGAUGUGGAUAUCUUAGCGAAGCAGGGUUAGACCGUUAGAGAGCUGGUGAGAUUUAAAGUGGCAUGGCUGCCAAAUUUUGCUGUCAAAGUUGCAACAUGCCCUCUGUCCACUUUAAUUUGAGGGAGUUGAUGUAAUUGGGAUGUUCUUUGUACAUAUUUAAGGGCCGUUUGGAUUCAGAGUUAAAGUUACUUUGAUUUUGAUUUUAAUUUUGAUUGUGGAAAAUGACAAAUGAGAUGUGAUUAUAAAUUUGACU
Non-coding RNA from Punica granatum (pomegranate), 1140 nucleotides. The record is from RefSeq and is a predicted model, not a curated record. Lineage: Eukaryota; Viridiplantae; Streptophyta; Magnoliopsida; Myrtales; Lythraceae.